RNAcentral lists this long non-coding RNA (546 nucleotides) under Gossypium raimondii (Peruvian cotton). RNAcentral's name for it is "long non-coding RNA (GRAI_LNC005217)". The record is from RNAcentral. Lineage: Eukaryota; Viridiplantae; Streptophyta; Magnoliopsida; Malvales; Malvaceae.
GUAAAUUCACAUCAAUUGCAAAAUAAAGAAAUCAUAUCACAUCUGCAAAGAUUAUGAGGGGAUCCCCUAAUAAGUACACUUAACGGUUAACAUUGCUCCACUUAAGAAACAUGCAAUGAUGCAAAUGCAGCAUUCAUUUCUCACUAAUAAUUUCACAGCCGAAGCCAAAAAUAGUAACAGGGUUCCCAUAGUUUUUGAACAACGCAUUGAGUAACUCAACCGAUGUAGGAAUAUAGAUGAAAAUCUCAGAGGUUGAAAACAUUGGUGUUGACAGAGAAAGGCGUUCAAACAGUACACAGAAAAGAAAAAAAUGGGGGAAGAUAAUGGGUGUUGAUCUCUGAGACUAAACACUUAUGUCGGAGAAAGUUGGAGACUGAAAACGUGGUGGGGUUAAAAAAUGCUAUGUGAAUCCAUGUUUGAGUUCAAUGAGUGAGCCACAAAAGGAUGGAUAAAGGAAAGGCCCAUGCAUUCAGAAGAGGUAUUGUACUUUGUGAUGAUGCCUUUGAAUCUAGAGUUCAAGACAAAGGCAACCAAACUUGUAAUUCA